GUCAGUCAGAGCUUCGUGUCUCUCUUCAGCUCCCACACCGCUGAUGACGGUUCAUUUAUGGGAAAAUGACGUUAAAUACAAGGUUGGAACCAACAGGUUGGAAUACCUCCAGCAGGCUGAAGUGUCAAGGCCGUACCCCUACUGUACUGUACAUCCUGACGUUGGGAGAUAAUGACCAGCGCUGCUCUCAAGCAUUCGUCAUUCUGGUGGGACAGGCUCUGGAGCAAUGCACACUACUUGGGGUGGUUGAUGUGUGCUUCAAGGCAUUUUAUAUUUUUGACAUUAACUAUUUAAAGUAGUGUGCACCUGUAUAGAACUUUUUGUAA
This is a long non-coding RNA of Clarias gariepinus (North African catfish), 326 nucleotides long. RefSeq lists it as uncharacterized. The record is from RefSeq and is a predicted model, not a curated record. Lineage: Eukaryota; Metazoa; Chordata; Actinopteri; Siluriformes; Clariidae. The transcript is spliced from 2 exons.